AUAAGUGCCAUCUUUUCUUUCCAGGACCAAAGAAAAAGCAGCAGGAAAAAGGCGGCUAAAAAAAAAAAAAAAAAAUCAGAAACCAAAAACAGGUCUCGGGCUCGCCGGGCGCACCAGGCUGUUGGGCCCUCUUGGGGCCAGUGCUGGGUGCUUGAAGAGGGUGUGAGAAAGAAGUCCUCUCCUCUGCUUGGCUUGGGCAAGGUCAGUUUCUGUGGCUUCUGCAGCCUCCCACCUUUUUUUCUUCCUGAGCUAGUAGGGACUUGUCUUUGGGUUGCUGGAACACAGACACCUCUCUUUGACACUGGGUUAAAUAACACUGCUGGGUGGAUUUUGUGAAAUCAGAAUCCUGCACAUAGGUGAAGCAAACAAACGUAGACAACAUGAGGAACCUUUAAUUAUUAACUCAGGCUGGGUGAUUCUGAGGCAUUCAAAUUCCAGGAUUUUUGUUUUCUCAGCCGUGAGCUGUUUUGGGGACCAAAUUCUAGAAAAAAAAUGACCUUUUCCUAUGGUAAAUCAUUAGUGCUAAAUAGGACCCGAGUUAUUUAGCCCAAAACAUACUGUAGAGCAAGAAUGCUUUCCUCAGAAAGAUCUCUAGUCUGACUUGAACAAUUCCAAUGAGGAGAGCCCGAGCUGCACAAGUCACCCUGGUUUCUUAUUAGAUUAUUCUAAACACAUUUUAAAAAGUAUUGUUGGGGGGGCAGUACUGUGGCAUAGUGGAUAAUCACAUAUGGACGCCAGUUCGAAUCCUGGCUUCUCCACUUCCCAUCCAGCUCCCUGCUAAAGUGUCUGGGAAAGGAGUGGGGGAUGGUCCAAGUGCUUGGGCCCCUGCCACCCACAUGGGAGACCUGUAGGAAGCUCCUGGCUUCCGUUUGGCCUAGCUUCUGCCUUUAGGGCCAUUUGGGAAGUGAAGCAGUGGAUGGAAGCACUCUCUCUCUCCUGCUCCCUCCCUCCCCAUAACUCUUUAAAAAACUAAUGUCGCUCCCUCACCCCAAAACCUGCAGCUCUUCUUCAGUUCCCAUUUCACCAUCCACGCGGUUGAGCAAGCCGACUUUGCUGCUUUACCAUUGUGCUGCAUCUCAAUCCCUGGCCAUCCGCAAAUCAUUCCCAUCCUCCGCCCCCUAAAACAAGAGGAUCACUUGUCUGGAGAACUGGAAUACCACUUACCUCGUUUCCCAAACAUAUUCUACCUUCUCCUCCUUCCCUGUGGGACAUUCAGAGCUGUAAGGCGUAGUGAUCAUAUCACCCAGCUCAGGCUUCUGAUGGUUCUGAAGUCUCAAACACUGUAGCCUGGCUUUUACAACCCUGGACAUUCCAGGCCUUUUUCAAAAUCUUUCAGUUUCAAUUCUCACUAUACAACUUCAAGGAAACACCAGUUGCAGGUGGGUUUCCCUAUCUCUAAAAUGCCAUGCCUAGGGUCAGUGUUUAGUGCUAUGGUUGACACUGCUUGGGACACCUGUAUAACAUAUUAGAGUGCCUGGGUUUGAGCCCUGGUUUUGCUUCCGAUCCAGCUUUCUGCUACCGUGUACCCUGGGGGGCAGCAGGUAAGUACUUCGGUCCCUGCCUCGUGGUAGAUCUGGAUUGAGUUUCUUGCUCCUGGCUUCAGCCAGGCCCAGUACUGACUAUUGGAGGCAUUUGGGGGGUAAAUCAGUGUCUGUCUGUAUCUCUCUGCCUUUCAAAUAAAAUGAAAAUAAAUAAAAAAUAUUAAAACCUC
This 1711-nucleotide long non-coding RNA is filed under the name Oryctolagus cuniculus (rabbit). Its description in RNAcentral is "lncRNA (ENSOCUG00000032496.1)". The record is from RNAcentral. Lineage: Eukaryota; Metazoa; Chordata; Mammalia; Lagomorpha; Leporidae.